This 23-nucleotide small nuclear RNA is filed under the name Arabidopsis thaliana (thale cress). RNAcentral's name for it is "snRNA_11369". The record is from RNAcentral. Lineage: Eukaryota; Viridiplantae; Streptophyta; Magnoliopsida; Brassicales; Brassicaceae.
GUUGGUUUUCCCUCUAGAAGGAU